GACGAACGCUGGCGGCGUGCUUAACACAUGCAAGUCGAACGCUGAACCCGCUUCGGUGGGGGAUGAGUGGCGAACGGGUGAGUAACACGUGGGCAACCUGCCCCCGGCUCUGGGAUAACUCCAAGAAAUUGGGGCUAAUACCGGAUGUGGCCGCUGGCCGCAUGGUCUGGUGGUGGAAAGGGUUUCCGGCUGGGGAUGGGCCCGCGGCCUAUCAGCUUGUUGGUGGGGUAGUGGCCUACCAAGGCGACGACGGGUAGCCGGCCUGAGAGGGUGACCGGCCACACUGGGACUGAGACACGGCCCAGACUCCUACGGGAGGCAGCAGUGGGGAAUAUUGCGCAAUGGGCGGAAGCCUGACGCAGCGACGCCGCGUGGGGGAUGACGGCCUUCGGGUUGUAAACCUCUUUCAGCAGGGACGAAGCGCAAGUGACGGUACCUGCAGAAGAAGCACCGGCCAACUACGUG
Molecule: ribosomal RNA, 465 nt
Filed under: uncultured bacterium
Lineage: Bacteria
Description: partial 16S ribosomal RNA
Rfam family: Bacterial small subunit ribosomal RNA
Source: RNAcentral